AGUUACCUGGGGUGUUCGACAAUCCUAUCAUUUUGAACCUACAUGUACUUUUAUGGGAUUCCUACAUUGCUGUGAAGGAUGUCAGGCCACCGAUUGCAGUGGAAGACAGAUGUCGCAGUUGCGGUUACCCACCUAGCUUUGCUAGGAGUCAAAAGAUAGGAAACGGCACUUUGGGGCUUAC
Non-coding RNA from Robinsoniella sp. RHS, 181 nucleotides. It matches the Rfam family "6S / SsrS RNA". Rfam says of the family: E. coli 6S RNA was the first non coding RNA to be sequenced, but its function was unknown until recently. It consists of 184 nucleotides that fold into an extended hairpin structure with a large single-stranded internal bulge. The record is from Rfam. NCBI's taxonomy places the organism in Bacteria, Bacillati, Bacillota, Clostridia, Lachnospirales, Lachnospiraceae.